RNAcentral lists this long non-coding RNA (914 nucleotides) under Equus asinus (donkey). RNAcentral describes it as "lncRNA (ENSEASG00005027624.1)". Lineage: Eukaryota; Metazoa; Chordata; Mammalia; Perissodactyla; Equidae. The record is from RNAcentral.
GGCAUUGUCCCAAGAUUGGAAUGAAUUGUUCUAAGAACUGUGGGGAGAGCAUAUCUGAAAUCACUCCUUUAGAAGCUGCUGGAGGCUUGGGACCAUGGAACGGUAAAAUGUCAACUUGAAGGAAAUUAAGGGAUUCAAACCAUGAGCUUGACCUUAGAGAGAGAAGGCUGAUUCCUGAGUGACGCCAGUGGAGGGAACCACAGCCACAGUGGAUCUAGGCAGAGGAAACUAUCUGAGCACAAAGCUUCAGAGGUUCCCAAACCAGCUGAAAGCUGAAACAAGAAAGAGCAGGACAGAUAGGUCUUCAUUCCAGUGUACAGGUGACAGGUCAUGUGUGUUCUCUGAAAGCCAUUGAGCCAAUGUCACAUAGUGGUUUACAUCUGACCUUGGAAGCAGACUGUGAAGGGUCACAAUGCUGAUCCUGUCACUUCCCACUGCGUGAACUCCGGAAUCUCAUCUCUGAGAUUCAACUCUCUGAGCCUCAUCUGCAAAAUGGGGCUAGAACCCAACUCCCAAGGUUGUGUGAAGAGUCAAUGAGCAAGUACAAGCCCACCUGGCACACAGGGAAGGCUCGACUAUAGAGCUCCUGUUACUCCUACCCCAUGAGCCUCUGGGAGGAGCAUAUGAGACACUACAUCUGUAAACAUCUGUGAAGACUGCAAACCGCCAUGCAAUCUCAAGGGGUCGUCAGUUUGUUUAAUUCUCCAUGAGACCUACCUCCAUAGUUCAUCAGAGGUCUGGACAAAAUCUCAAACCACAGUGGAAAGGAGUGCUCCUUCUGUAUCCGGAUGGGUACCUACAACUUGUGUUUUCAGGAACUUGGAGGACAAAGUGACUUCUUUGAACGCAUCUGGUCAGCAAUGCUAUCGGAAGACGGGCUUCUCCCCAAGGCCCGGCGGUAUCAUCGACUUACA